Molecule: non-coding RNA, 215 nt
Organism: Gorilla gorilla gorilla (western lowland gorilla)
Lineage: Eukaryota; Metazoa; Chordata; Mammalia; Primates; Hominidae
Rfam family: Metazoan signal recognition particle RNA
About the family: The signal recognition particle (SRP) is a universally conserved ribonucleoprotein. It is involved in the co-translational targeting of proteins to membranes. The eukaryotic SRP consists of a 300-nucleotide 7S RNA and six proteins: SRPs 72, 68, 54, 19, 14, and 9.
Source: Rfam
GCUGGGCAUGGUGGCAUAUGCCUGUGGUCCCAGCUACUCAGAAGGCUGAGAUGGGAGGAUCACCUGAGCCUUGGAGGUCAAGGCUGCAGUGAGCCUUGGUUGAGACACUGCACUCCAGCCUGGGUNNNNNNNNNNACCCAGGCUGGAGUGCAGUGUCUCAACCAAGGCUCACUGCAGCCUUGACCUCCAAGGCUCAGGUGAUCCUCCCAUCUCAG